CAGCUGGGAUCCUCUUCCGGAUGAAUAGUCUCCUCCAAAAGUUGUUAAGAAGGGUGGUUCUUUGCCUCCUCUUUCCGGUUCUCGCAAGAGGAGGCGCCCGACUCAAUUGAAACCAUUGAGUAUUCCUGCUGAAUCUCUACCUGCUAAGGCUCCAAAAAUGGGGUCUUCUUCUUUCAGUUCAAUCAUUGACCUCGUCGAGCGUCAGCUUGGACGUCAAGUUAGUCGGAGUAGCUCGGAAGUGAUAUCUUCUCGUAUGACUCUGCAUCCUACCAAACCUUUAGUUGUGAAGACAGUCCCGAAUCCUAAGCACCCUCUACAUACUCCUUCCGACAUGUUAGCAACGAUGAGCACGUCCGGCUCAGAUCUUUCUGUACGUGACUGUUCUCCGGGUGCGAGUGAUGCUGAGCUUAAGGAAGACGCCAGAUUUAAGGAGGAUGCUGAGAAACAAAGUCCUUCCUCUUCUAAGUCGCGAUAGGGGUAAGCAAGAGAACACUCAUGCUAAAGGCAGUGAAUCAGGAAGUGCGAGUGAGAAACGGCAGAAACCAGUAAAUCCGACUCCAAAGGUGUCGCGCAGCAUAGAUGAAAAUGUGGUGCUGAUGGCUACUCCGGAAGAUCCUAAAUUUCGGUAAUCCCGCGUGUGAGUGCUGAGGAGGCCGGUGUAGAUGAUCGCUUCCUUUUAGUGCAUGGUUUUUGGGUUUCUCCUGCUAAAGCCGCCAACUAUCGCCGCAUAGUCGAGAAGUUUGGUCAUAUGUCUGUGCAUGAGGGAAUGGACGCGGGUGCUUUGAUCGUGACAAACGAAGAUUUACUAGAUAUUGCAGAUGGUCUUGCUCAUGUGGACGAAGAGACGAUCGAACCCGUCAAUUUAAAGCGGUGGGAAAGCACCAUUCAAAUGUCUCUGCUCCUUCAAUUCCCCAUUCAGUGGUUGAAGGAUCUGCUGGAUGCUGUGAAAACGAGUAACAACAUGCGCCAUACUCUGCCUAAGGAAAUUAACGAAUUAGAUCAAGAGUAUGCAUGUCUGCUCCAAAUAUCCCAUGCUAAGAAGGAGGCGUAUGAUCAGUUGAUGGCAGGUGUGGGUCGAGCUACUGCUGAGCUGAGGGAUGCCCGAGCUGUUGCAAAGGGAGUUCGCGCGUCUCGAUAAGAAGAAGGCGGAGUAUGCCGCGUUGGGUGUUUAGUGUUACAUUUGCUAUUGGAUUGCUCAGUUUUCUUGUUUGGUUAAACAAUAACUGUUAUUGUUGGAUUUUAUUUUAUUUAAUCUGUAAGAUGCUUUAUUACUUGGUUAUUGUUGAUUAUUAUGG
This is an RNA transcript of Papaver somniferum (opium poppy), 1295 nucleotides long. RefSeq lists it as uncharacterized. NCBI's taxonomy places the organism in Eukaryota, Viridiplantae, Streptophyta, Magnoliopsida, Ranunculales, Papaveraceae. The transcript has 3 exons. The record is from RefSeq and is a predicted model, not a curated record.